Molecule: ribosomal RNA, 701 nt
Filed under: Mucor lusitanicus
Lineage: Eukaryota; Fungi; Mucoromycota; Mucoromycetes; Mucorales; Mucoraceae
Description: LSU rRNA
Rfam family: Eukaryotic large subunit ribosomal RNA
Source: RNAcentral
AGCGGAGGAAAAGAAAAUAACAAUGAUUUCCCUAGUAACGGCGAGUGAAGAGGAAAGAGCUCAAAGUUGGAAACUGUUUGGCUUAGCUAAACCGUAUUGUAAACUGUAGAAACAUUUUCCUGGCACACCAGAUUAAUAAGUCCUUUGGAACAAGGCAUCAUGGAGGGUGAGAAUCCCGUCUUUGAUCUGAGUAGUUGUCUUUUGUGAUAUGUUUUCAAAGAGUCAGGUUGUUUGGGAAUGCAGCCUAAAUUGGGUGGUAAAUCUCACCUAAAGCUAAAUAUUUGCGAGAGACCGAUAGCGAACAAGUACCGUGAGGGAAAGAUGAAAAGAACUUUGAAAAGAGAGUUAAACAGUAUGUGAAAUUGUUAAAAGGGAACCGUUUGGAGCCAGACUGGUUUGCCUGUAAUCAACCUAGAAUUCGUUUUGGGUGCACUUGCAGGCUAUACCUGCCAACAACAGUUUGAUUUGGAGGAAAAAAUUAGUAGGAAUGUAGCCUCUCGAGGUGUUAUAGCCUACUAUCAUACUCUGGAUUGGACUGAGGAACGCAGCGAAUGCCUUUAGGCAAGAUUGCUGGGUGCUUUCGCUAAUAAAUGUUAGAAUUUCUGCUUCGGGUGGUGCUAAUGUUUAAAGGAGGAACACAUCUAGUAUAUUUUUUAUUCGCUUAGGUUGUUGGCUUAAUGACUCUAAAUGACCCGUCUUGA